GAUGCCCCUAGCGGGAUGCUUUACACAUGCAAGUCGAACGGCAGCGGCAUGGACAAAUCCUUCGGGAGGCGACCAUGGCCGGCGAGUGGCGGACGGGUGAGUAAUGCAUCGGAAUGUGCCCAGUAGCGGGGGAUAACCACUCGAAAGAGUGGCUAAUACCGCAUAUUCUCUACGGAGGAAAGAGGGGGAUCUUCGGACCUCUCACUACUGGAGCAGCCGAUGUCGGAUUAGCUAGUUGGUGGGGUAAAGGCUCACCAAGGCAACGAUCCGUAGCUGGUUUGAGAGGACGACCAGCCACACUGGGACUGAGACACGGCCCAGACUCCUACGGGAGGCAGCAGUGGGGAAUUUUGGACAAUGGGGGGAACCCUGAUCCAGCCAUCCCGCGUGUAUGAUGAAGGCCUUCAGGUUGUAAAGUACUUUUNGACAGGGAAAAAACAACUCCGGCUAAAUACCCCGGAGCCCAUGACGGUACCUUGUAGAAUAAAGCACCCGGCUAAAAUACGUUGCCAGCAACCCCCGGUAAUACCUUUAGGG
This 537-nucleotide ribosomal RNA is filed under the name uncultured bacterium. RNAcentral's name for it is "bacterial SSU rRNA". It matches the Rfam family "Bacterial small subunit ribosomal RNA", at positions 36 to 533 of the family's 1533-position model. The record is from RNAcentral.